UUCUUCAUAGUGUAGUGGUCAUCAUACUAGCUUGUCACGCUAGUGACCUGGGUUCGAUUCCCAGUGAGGAAG
This is a transfer RNA of Hepatospora eriocheir, 72 nucleotides long. It matches the Rfam family "tRNA". From Rfam's summary of the family: Transfer RNA (tRNA) molecules are approximately 80 nucleotides in length. Their secondary structure includes four short double-helical elements and three loops (D, anti-codon, and T loops). NCBI's taxonomy places the organism in Eukaryota, Fungi, Microsporidia, Hepatosporidae. The record is from Rfam.